AGUUUAACAGGUGAUUUGUAUUCACCACCAUUAAGGGCAGUGCUCACCGCUCUGUCCUGCAGGCUGGCUGCACACCACAGGGAACUGCUCGUUGACCCCAAGCUUUCCUCUGCCCAAUUAUCCUGGUUAGCUUGCAGGCAGCCUCGGGAGCGGGGCAGGGAACAGGUCACACCGAGGGACUCGUCCUCCCGUGCCCCUGCCUGCCCUCAGGCUGGGGGCAGGUGCUGGGCAGGGGUGGCUCCUGGAGGGUGUCAGGUCACAGCAGCCUCAAAGCCAGUUGGGAAGAGGAAAGUUCCAGUCCUGGGACACCCCUUGAGCACCUGCACUGGAGCCCAACGCCUGCGAGACCUCAAGGGCCGGAGCUGUUCCAGUGCUGUGAUUCCCAUCCAGAAGCCCCAAAAGUGGACGUGGGGGUGAAACUGGGAGACCUGAGACCCGCUGCCACCCACGAGCACGCAAGUGCUGGAGCUCAUCAAGGCACAGAUCAGCCCUGCUGGGUUAUAGAGGGACCUUUGACUGUUGACUGGGAUCAUUUCAGCUCGUUUGGAGCCCUGUGAGGGACCUGACAGGGCUCAGCACCACUGGAAUUGGUGUCUAUCUGUGCUGGAUGGUGGGAGGCUGUGGUGGGGUACUGGGAUGUGACCCCAGCCACACAAGGACCACGAGUUCUUGCCCAUGAACCCAGCCCGCCCCUGUGUGCUGCUUCCCAGGGAUCCUCAAAUCCCUAAAGGCUCUGCGAGGAUGUUUUAUAAACUCUUCCUGUGCUGAAGUGGCAGCCACCUCGGUGGUCACUGCACCCCUAGUGCAAGGGCAGCACAUCAAACUUCAUUAGAUAUUAAAAAAUGAAUUGUGUUUGCAUUCCUUGCA
This 867-nucleotide long non-coding RNA is filed under the name Manacus vitellinus (golden-collared manakin). RNAcentral's name for it is "lncRNA (ENSMVIG00005008507.1)". The record is from RNAcentral. Lineage: Eukaryota; Metazoa; Chordata; Aves; Passeriformes; Pipridae.